This 492-nucleotide ribosomal RNA is filed under the name uncultured bacterium. Its description in RNAcentral is "partial 16S ribosomal RNA". It matches the Rfam family "Bacterial small subunit ribosomal RNA", at positions 29 to 507 of the family's 1533-position model. The record is from RNAcentral.
AGUGAACGCUGGCGGUAUGCCUAACACAUGCAAGUCGAACGGCAGCACAGUGACAGCUUGCUCUUAGGGGCGCCGAGUGGCGGACGGUUCAGGAAGACAUGGGAAUCCACUUUGUCUUGGGGGAUAACAUAGGGACACUUACCCCAAUCCUGCAUACGACCUACGGGGGUAAGCACGAGAUCUUCGGCCCUUGCGCUAUUGAAUGAGCCGAUGUCGGAUUAGCUAGUUGGCGGGGUAGAGGCACACCAAGGCGACGAUGGGUAGCUGGUCUGAGCGGAUGAUCAGCCACACUGGCACUGAGACACGGCCCAGACUCCUACGGGAGGCAGCAGUGGGGAAUCUUGGACAAUGGGGGCAAGCCUGAUCCAGCCAUACCGCGUGAGUGAAGAAGGCCUUCGGGUUGUAAAGCGCUUUUGGUGGGAAAGAAAAGCAGCGCUUUAACACCGCGUGGUAAUGACGGUACCCGAAGAAUAAGCACCGGCUAACUUCGUG